RNAcentral lists this ribosomal RNA (105 nucleotides) under Aeromonas hydrophila. RNAcentral describes it as "partial 16S ribosomal RNA". It matches the Rfam family "Bacterial small subunit ribosomal RNA", at positions 1429 to 1533 of the family's 1533-position model. Lineage: Bacteria; Pseudomonadati; Pseudomonadota; Gammaproteobacteria; Aeromonadales; Aeromonadaceae. RNAcentral also lists the same sequence under 11 other names. The record is from RNAcentral.
GAUAGCUUAACCUUCGGGAGGGCGUUUACCACGGUGUGAUUCAUGACUGGGGUGAAGUCGUAACAAGGUAACCCUAGGGGAACCUGGGGUUGGAUCACCUCCUUA